UACGUAGGGGGCAAGCGUUGUCCGGAUUUAUUGGGCGUAAAGCGCGUGUAGGCGGCCAGGUAGGUCGGUUGUGAAAAUUGGAGGCUAAACCUCCAGACGUUGAUCGAAACCAUCUGGCUAGAGUCCGGAAGAGGAGAAUGGAAUUCCUGGUGUAGCGGUGAAAUGCGCAGAUAUCAGGAAGAACACCGAUGGCGAAGGCAGUUCUCUGGGACGGUACUGACGCUGAGACGCGAAAGCGUGGGGAGCGAACAGG
Molecule: ribosomal RNA, 253 nt
Filed under: uncultured bacterium
Lineage: Bacteria
Description: partial 16S ribosomal RNA
Rfam family: Bacterial small subunit ribosomal RNA
Source: RNAcentral